Molecule: unclassified non-coding RNA, 1221 nt
Filed under: Sitophilus oryzae (rice weevil)
Lineage: Eukaryota; Metazoa; Arthropoda; Insecta; Coleoptera; Curculionidae
Description: protein FAM122A, transcript variant X1
Source: RNAcentral
CGCUGUCGGUGUCUUUUAAUAUUGGAAUUCUGAUCAGAUUAAAAUUUAAUUUUUAGAUACUCUUUUUGAGUCGGAUUUUUAGGGAAUCCGUUGCAAGCGCUAAAUUAUUUUCUGACAUUAAAGGGAAAUGGAUUAAAUACCUAAAUAGAAGUCAAAUGGUGACAUGGAUUAGUGUUUCCAAUGUCGUCGUCCAACUCUGCUAUGGAUGUUGAUGGGGCCCCUGGGAAUGCCCCUGGCCCUUUAAAGAGAAGUUCUAGUGCUCCAAUGAUUAAUGAAGCAUCUAGUUCAGCUAUGACAUCUGCUAGUUCUAGUAAUUCAACAGCCAGUAAUCAACCAUCUUUCAACAAUUUAUUUGGCACAGUAAAUGCAACAAGAACUAGACGCUUCAGUGCAAGCUUUAGUCCAGUACCAGGCUCUCCAGUAUCGGGACCAAGAACACCAAGAAUAAAUCAGUUGAGACAAGAAGAGCAUGAAGUCGUAUCUAAUUCUCGUGAAUUGGCUCACGAAAAAGAAAUCCACAGUGCAAUGCAAAUUUCACAAUCAUGGGAGGAUCUUAGCUUGAUAGAAAAUUCAAAUGAAACCAAGAGCAAUCGAAUGGGGCCCAUUCAUGUAUCCUUACCAUCUAAUAGUUUUAUGUCUAAUUCUCCAUCGCCUACAAGGGGUUAUGGAUUUCAAAGUCCAACAAGAUCGAAACAAAUAUUUAUUAGACGUAGUGAAAGUCCUGUGCUUCGUCCAAGCCCACUAGGUGUAAAGCGAAAAAUUGAUGAUAAGGAUGUUGAUUUUCACACUAGUCCAAGAGCAAAAAGGGUAUAUAGUUAUUCAGCUAGUGAUAGCAGAGGUCUCCUUACAACCACAUCAAAUUCACUGCCAGGGUCUUUAAGUUCAGUUGGAACCCCAGAAAGCCUUUCCAGUGCAGACUCUCCCGGUUCUGGUUUUGCUUUCAGAAACGUCGAUAGUCCGUCUCCAACCCUCCAAGGUGGCCAAGGAGAACCUAUGAUUGUGGGCAAGAAUGACCAUGAUAUGACUGAGAGUCCUAGUUAAUAUGGUGCAAUACCGAGUUUAGAUUUUUAAUUAAAGGUGGCAUAAGAGCAAAGAAAAAUAAGUGGAAAAAUUUAAAAUAUAUUGUGGUAGGAAACUAGACCAUUCUUGAUAUAGAUACAAUAUUUAGGGAUACUUUAUUUUGAUGAAGUUCAAAACUUACCAUAGGAUGAUUUUGAGCCG